Molecule: ribosomal RNA, 253 nt
Filed under: uncultured bacterium
Lineage: Bacteria
Description: partial 16S ribosomal RNA
Rfam family: Bacterial small subunit ribosomal RNA
Source: RNAcentral
UACGUAGGGGGCAAGCGUUAUCCGGAUUUACUGGGUGUAAAGGGAGCGUAGACGGAGCUGCAAGUCUGAUGUGAAAGGCUGGGGCUUAACCCCAGGACUGCAUUGGAAACUGUAGAUCUUGAGUGCCGGAGAGGUAAGCGGAAUUCCUAGUGUAGCGGUGAAAUGCGUAGAUAUUAGGAGGAACACCAGUGGCGAAGGCGGCUUACUGGACGGUAACUGACGUUGAGGCUCGAAAGCGUGGGGAGCAAACAGG